AAUCAACGCUGGCGGCGUGCCUCAGACAUGCAAGUCGAACGCGAAAGUUUCCUUCGGGAAGCGAGUAGAGUGGCGCACGGGUGAGUAACACGUAAGUAAUCUACCCUUGGGUGGGGAAUAACAUCGGGAAACCGAUGCUAAUACCGCAUAAUGCAGCGGCUUCAUAUGAAGACAGUUGUUAAAGCAUUUAUGUGCCUGAGGAGGAGCUUGCGGCAGAUUAGCUAGUUGGUAAGGUAAUGGCUUACCAAGGCGACGAUCUGUAGCCGACCUGAGAGGGUGGUCGGUCACACUGACACUGAAUAACGGGUCAGACUCCUACGGGAGGCAGCAGUCGGGAAUUUUGGGCAAUGGGCGCAAGCCUGACCCAGCAACGCCGCGUGAAGGAUGAAGUAUUUCGGUAUGUAAACUUCGUAAAAUAGGAAGAAUAAAUGACGGUACUAUUUGUAAGGUCCGGCUAACUACGUGCCAGCAGCCGCGGUAAG
Molecule: ribosomal RNA, 482 nt
Filed under: uncultured bacterium
Lineage: Bacteria
Description: bacterial SSU rRNA
Rfam family: Bacterial small subunit ribosomal RNA
Source: RNAcentral